This 3945-nucleotide long non-coding RNA is filed under the name Homo sapiens (human). RNAcentral's name for it is "PREDICTED lncRNA (TCONS_00013054)". Lineage: Eukaryota; Metazoa; Chordata; Mammalia; Primates; Hominidae. The record is from RNAcentral.
CUCUGGGGUGUGCCUGAGCCCACCCCACAACAGUAAGUGGGGCAGAGCAGGGGUCACCAAGAGAGCAGGGCCCACGCAGCUCCUAGACUCAACCUGCUCACUGGGGUCAAGGACAGGUCUUGGGGGCCUCGGGGGUCACUUUUCACUUCCCAGGAGCCCAGGCCUGCCCCUCUGGCCCCAGAGCUGACCCCCCUCAGUCCCCCGUGCCAGCAGCAGCUGGGGUGGCGGGUAGACACCUGGCGGGUAGCAGCCUGGGUAGGGGUGGGAGCUGCACCAUCUGCGUCUGUCCAUCCAUCCCUCGUCUGUGUGCUGGGCACAGCCGCGCCCCAGCCUCAGUGCUGGGGACACACAGGCGCCGGGCCAGCACUGCCAGGCUAGGAGGGUGGGCGGUGAACAGCUAGGAAAGAUACGGUCUACUUGUUUUCCCUGUGAGAACAGGGGGUCACUGGGGACUCGCACGCAAGGGGUACCCGAGGAAGAGCCUUCCAGGCAGAGAGAAGGAACCGCGAGUGCUGAGAGCAGGGUGGGGUGGGCAGGAGGGGCCUGCGCCAGGACUGCAGGGGCAGAGCAGGCUGGGGGCCUUCGGGAGGGGUGGCCGGGUGGAGGGUGUUGCCGGCCUCGACAGGGGCAGGAGGUUCGUCACAGCGAGGACAGAGCCCGGCCCGGUGGGAGCCGGAGAGCAGCAGGCCUGAAUGACCCAGGGUUUCCUAAUAGCAGGGCCCCUUCCUUGUGUGGGUCCCCUCACUUUGCCUCUCUGCUGGGACAUCCUUCCCUGAAAGGGAGAGGAGGACCACAUGCUGCCCCUUCCCCAGACACAGUCCAGACAGGCCCAGGCCACAGCCCUGGGCAGACGCAAAACUCCCAGGGGCCUGGACUGGGAUAGGGAGGAGGCAGCAGGGAGGGACUGACCUAUGUCCACACACCACAAGGGACUCCCAGAGGCGGGUGGGGCGGAGCUGGGAGCAGGGGCCUUAGCCCUCAGACCAGCCCACUCACCCUGGGGAGUUCCUGCCCCACAGCCUGCCCAGCUUACAGGCCUGGGGGCAGGGGCAGGCCAGCACAGGCCGGAGGGACAGAGGGAGCCACAUCUGAGGGGUCCCCCAGCUGCUCACACCGUCUGAGGCUGUGCUUGCCAACAACUCUGCUCCCAGGAAAUAUUUUGCAAAUCAGGAAAUGACACCGGGCAAGGCCUCUGCUCUCCGGGGCUACGGCCUCCCACAGGCACGUUCCUACAUCCCUCUGUGAACCGCCCACAGGCCCCCCCACAGGUGUUCCUCUGUGAGCUGGUCGGGCGGCCGGGGCCGGGGCCGGGCUUCGCUGCUCCGUGCCUUCCACCUCCCUGGCGGUGCGGGGCCUCAGGGUGGGCCUGGGAAGCUGGAAACACCUUUGGAAACAGCCGCCUGAGGCAGCUGUGGACAGAAGACCCUGCCCAGCAGCCAAGGGAGCUGGCCUCUCCGCUCAGCCUCCCCACCCCCACCAGGCCCAGCUGUUGUUUUCACGGCUCCGGGACCAGGCGGAUCCUCAGCCAAGAGCUUCCCAGGAGAGCCCUCAUCUUCAACCCCUAGUGGCGACCAGAGCCAGCCCGGGCAGGAGGGGAAGGAAGGCGGCCGCGGCCCCGGGGAAGCCAUCCUGGCAGCUUGGCCACUGGCCCGGCUCCUGUCUGACCAGGAAAGGCAUCAAAGCCGGACUCGGAUGGAGGCUGGAAAACCCCGAGACUUCUGCUGGACUCGACCCAGCCACACACCAGGCUGUGCUCAAGGCCACGGAAUGAGCCUUGACCCUGGCCCCAGACGGAGCCCAGACCUUGCUGGUCACAGGCUGAGCCCUGCUGGCAAUAUGAUGUACUAGAUCCCUUAAAAGGCCUUCCAGCAACAACCAACUUCUGGAUGAAUUACUAUGAGCGUACAUUUUUAAUAGACUGUUGUGUUUCCAAGAAAGUAAAUAUCUCCGAGUCUCCCCCAAAAUUAAACAGCAAAAAUAAAUAAGGCCAGGUGGGGUGGCUCAUGCCUGUAAUCCCAACACUUUAGGAGGCUGAGGCGAGAGGAUUGCUUGUGCCUAGGAGUUCGAGACCAGCCUGGGCAACAUGAUGAGACCCCGUCUCUACAAAAAAAUUUAAAAUUAGCUGGGUGUGGUGGUGCACUCUAGUCACAGCUACUUGGGAGGCUGAGGCAGGAGGAUCACUUGAGCCUGGGAGGGCGAGGCUGCAGAGAGCUAGGAGCUCACCACUGCACUCAGACUGGGCGGCAGAGCAAGACUCUGUCUCUAAGUAAACAAACAGACAGAGUAGUGUGGAGGCCUGGAUGAUGAAGGGAAGUGGUUGGGAAAGCAGAUAACUCCCUGGACACACACAGGGACAGAGAGCCAGCCUGCGGCCAGGGAACAAGUAUGUUUCUCUGCCUAGGGGCUGCUUAAACCAGGGGUCUCAAGGGUCACUGAGGGGGCCGAGGGUGGUCUCGCCUGGAAAAGGGGAAUAGUCUCUGGAGGGAAGCAUCCCCAAGUUGGACCUCAGAAUUGUCUCCGAUAACAGCUGACAAUUAAACAACCAAACGUUCAGAGAAACACCAUGCUACUGAUGAGAAUCGGCAGAAACACCAGUCACAGAUUUAGACCCCCAAAGACUAGGACACUGGAAUUAUUUAGUACAGAAUAUAAAAUAACUAUAUAUGAAAUAUGUUUAAGAAGUGGAAACUGUAAUCUAAAAAGCAAGCAUGUAUCAAGAGACCAUAAAAAAAAUCAGACAAAUCUAAAACACAAUCAGAUGUAACUUUUAGAUAUGCUAACCUUUUUUUUUUUUUGAGAUGGAGUUUCACUUUGUCACCCAGGCUGGAGUGCAGUGGCACCCUCUCAGCUCACUCCAACCUCUGCCUCCAGUGUUCAAAUGAUUCUUGUGCCUCAGCCUCCUGAGUAGCUGGGACUACAGGUGUGCACCACCAUGGCCAGCUAAUUUUUUUUGUUGUUUUUUUGUUUGUUUUUAAGAUGGAGUCUUGCUCUUGUUGUCCAGGCUGGAGUGCAAUGGCAUGAUUUCGGCUCACUGCAAUCUCUGCCUCCUGGGUUCAAGCGAUCCUCCUGCCUCAGCCUCCCAAGUAGCUGAGGUUAUAGGUGCCCACCACCACGCCCAGCUAAUUUUUUUUUUUUUUUUUUUUGAGACGGAGCCUCGCUCUUUCGCCCAAGCUAGAGUGCAGUGGCGUGAUCUUGGCUCACUGCAAGCUUUGCCUCCCAGGUUCACGCCAUUCUCCUGCCUCAGCCUCCCGAGUAGCUGGUACUACAGGUGCCCGCCACCAAGCCCAGCUAAUUUCUGUAUUUUUUAGUAGAGACGGGGUUUCACCGUGUUAGCCAGGAUGAUCUGGAUCUCCUGAGCUGGUGAUCCGCCCUCCUCGGCUUCCCAAAGUGCUGGGAUUACAGGCGUGAGCCACCGUGCCUGGCCUGGAUAUGUUAACAUAAUAAUUUAAGAUAAAAUGAAUGAGUUAAUCAGCAGAUUAGACGGAAGGGAGUAAUUUGAUGAGGGGGUAAAAGAAAAUGGUGAGGAUAUGGAGAAGGAAUUCGUGGUGAAACUGGACACAAUUGUUGAGGGAUUUCCAGAGCUGAUGAACGUUGUGGACCUGUGGCUUACACCAAACAGGGUGGGUGUGAGCUCGGCACAGCUAGGACGCGCUGGUGAGACCAAGGAACACCAAAGUCAGUGAGGAGAUCUUAGUGUCUCCCGGAGAGAGCCGACCGAGGCUGGCGCAUGUCUGAAUGCGAGCCUGGCCAUAGGCUGAGCCCGGCUGCCGCCACCCCUGGGCUUCUGGAACCCUGGGCUUGGCCGAGCGUGGGUGUCUCCCCUGGGAGCCCCAGAGCCCUGGACGAUGGAGGCCGGGACCUGGGCAGGCGCGGGAGGCCUUGGGCUGGGGCCUGCGCCCCUCCUCUGAGGGCUGCCUGCCGGGCUCUGCCCUGCCCUGCCCUUCC